GUGUUUUUUACAGCAAGAAUGCCAUUUAUCUCUUUGAAAUGGAAAACCUAGAAAUCCUAACAGACAUUCAAAUGGUAAAUGGAACAGCGCUUGAUAUGAUCCAGAGCUACCGUACCACAUAUGUGGGUGCUGUCUGAUUUACUUAAAACGGGCGGUAUCCCAUAUGAAAGUAUUUCGAGAGCGAUGCAUCAGGACUUCAGGGUACCCAGAAGAUCUCAACGAUCUCGCAGGACCUCAAUGACGGUAUUAAUAGUAUUAUAAAAGUGAAAAAUGAAAUAAACAGCAGUGACUGUCGAGAUUCAUUAGAAGAACUUGAGGAGAUAUUGGACAAUGACUUAAGCCCAAAUGACAAUCAAGAAAGUUUCUCAAAUUUAAUAAACGCUGUAAUAGAAGGUGCAGAAAAAAAUAAAACGCGAAUAGAGAAUAAGAAGAUUUCUAUAUCGAGCAUUCCGGAUAGUGUCGUUGAUGAAAACGACCAGGAAAAGUCAAGUGAAGUUAAAUUCAACUUAAACUUAACUUAACUUGCGUCCUCAUUCCUGUAAAUACUGCGAUAAAACCUUCAUUUCCUUAAACAGUCUUUAAACAGUCCACCACCUAACUCACAAUGGCAUUCGUGCAUAUUUCUGCACCAAAAAUUUCAACGUAAUGUUCACUUGACCGCUCAUCUGCGUUCCAAACAGCAUGCUUGAAAUAAGCUAACGCAGAUUUAAAGAACAGUUGUAUAAUAUAAUGAACUUUAAUUUAUAUUUCUGGACAACCCCGUUGUGAUGAACAUUGACUCUAAUUACAGAUAAAUCGAGAAAAUGUA
Drosophila innubila is the source of this 808-nucleotide long non-coding RNA. RefSeq lists it as uncharacterized. Lineage: Eukaryota; Metazoa; Arthropoda; Insecta; Diptera; Drosophilidae. The transcript is spliced from 3 exons. The record is from RefSeq and is a predicted model, not a curated record.